GUGUCGCAAAAUGUUAUGUAUUCUGUGUGUAAUGUCUAUUUGUCCUGUGUUAAAAAUAUUAUAUAUAUAUAUAGAGAGAGAGAACAUUAUUUGUAUCAUUAAACGUGAUACAGGACACUAUAAAAUUGCAUCGUAAUGGGAACACCUAGAAUCCCACAUUAGAACGUCACGGACAUGACUUGCAUGGGAUGGUGUGGUAGAUCAAAAUUGGAUUAAGAACCACAAAAAGGGAACAAAAUAGCAAUAAACGUGUUCCAUUUACGUAAGGGAAGUUGUGGUAGAGAAAAUAUGUAUUCCUGUUCUGUUAAUAUAAAUAUAGGCUAAAAAGUGUAUUAUUUUAUUAUUGGGUUUGGUGAUUGGUAUUGGUUAUUGUCGUGUUGAACGCGUUAUGUGUGUGUGUUAUUUUGAAUCGCAAAUUGAGAGUUGACAAUCGUGUUGGGUAAUUGUAAUUACAUCAUUGUAAAACGACGUGCACUAAACAAGUGUAAAUAUCUGUACUUAAUAAAUAUAUACAAAAAAUACAGUCCCACGUGUGAAGUGUCUUGAAUCGUGAGCCAGCAACCAGCGUGACUUAAAUCGCACUAAGUUACGCGACACAAGG
Molecule: non-coding RNA, 601 nt
Organism: Paramuricea clavata
Lineage: Eukaryota; Metazoa; Cnidaria; Anthozoa; Malacalcyonacea; Plexauridae
Source: the annotation of a GenBank genome assembly